CCUACGGGAGGCAGCAGUGGGGAAUAUUGCACAAUGGGGGAAACCCUGAUGCAGCGACGCCGCGUGAGUGAUGAAGUAUUUCGGUAUGUAAAGCUCUAUCAGCAGGGAAGAAAAUGACGGUACCUGAGUAAGAAGCCCCGGCUAACUACGUGCCAGCAGCCGCGGUAAUACGUAGGGGGCAAGCGUUAUCCGGAUUUACUGGGUGUAAAGGGAGCGUAGACGGCAGUGCAAGUCAGGAGUGAAAGUCCGGGGCUCAACCCCCGGACUGCGUUGGAAACUGUCGGGCUGGAGUUGUGGAGAGGUAGGCGGAAGUCCUAGUGUAGCGGUGAAAUGCGUAGAUAUUAGGAGGAACACCAGUGGCGAAGGCGGCCUACUGGACGGGAACUGACGUUGAGGCACGAAAGCGUGGGGAGCAAACAGGAUUAGAUACCCCUGUAGUC
This 440-nucleotide ribosomal RNA is filed under the name uncultured bacterium. RNAcentral describes it as "partial 16S ribosomal RNA". It matches the Rfam family "Bacterial small subunit ribosomal RNA", at positions 338 to 795 of the family's 1533-position model. The record is from RNAcentral.